GCCACUUGAUGGCUCUGCUGUCUGCUGGAUCCAGUCGUUCUAACAGUCUGGAUUUUGACCUGUUUCCCUCCCUUUGUGACUGGGAGAUACCGGCUUCAUUUUAGACUGCUCAGGCAGGGGAGACUGAACUCCGAAGAUGCUGCCUGGUGCUGCCCAGGAAUUCCUUGGAGAGUGGAUGUCACGACCAAACGGAAGAACAAAAGAACAAUUCUCAGAAGCACAGCAAAAAUGAAACCAAAUAAAAACCCCAUAAAAAUCCCUACGGGGCAGAGGAAAUACCAGCCUGAUGCCUUUUGUGCCUUGUGCUGGGUCAUAAAGGGCAGCUUUGCCAAGAAGUGGUGGUGAUGUGGCAAUGUUUGAACUUGAGAGAGAAUGUUCUGGAAAACAAUAAAAGGCAGAAUCCAUGUA
Mesocricetus auratus (golden hamster) is the source of this 408-nucleotide long non-coding RNA. RefSeq lists it as uncharacterized. The record is from RefSeq and is a predicted model, not a curated record. The transcript has 2 exons. NCBI's taxonomy places the organism in Eukaryota, Metazoa, Chordata, Mammalia, Rodentia, Cricetidae.